GAUGAACGCUGGCGGCGUGCCUAAUACAUGCAAGUCGAGCGAACAGACGAGGAGCUUGCUCCUCUGACGUUAGCGGCGGACGGGUGAGUAACACGUGGAUAACCUACCUAUAAGACUGGGAUAACUUCGGGAAACCGGAGCUAAUACCGGAUAAUAUAUUGAACCGCAUGGUUCAAUAGUGGAAGACGGUUUUGCUGUCACUUAUAGAUGGAUCCGCGCCGCAUUAGCUAGUUGGUAAGGUAACGGCUUACCAAGGCAACGAUGCGUAGCCGACCUGAGAGGGUGAUCGGCCACACUGGAACUGAGACACGGUCCAGACUCCUACGGGAGGCAGCAGUAGGGAAUCUUCCGCAAUGGGCGAAAGCUUGACGGAGCAACGCCGCGUGAGUGAUGAAGGUCUUCGGAUCGUAAAACUCUGUUAUUAGGGAAGAACAAAUGUGUAAGUAACUAUGCACGUCUUGACGGUACCUAAUCAGAAUGCCACGGCUAACUACGUG
Molecule: ribosomal RNA, 497 nt
Filed under: uncultured bacterium
Lineage: Bacteria
Description: partial 16S ribosomal RNA
Rfam family: Bacterial small subunit ribosomal RNA
Source: RNAcentral